CGGUAAGGAAGCGGGAGUGACUUAGCGGCGGACGGGUGAGUAACGCGUGGGUAACCUGCCCCAUACCGGGGGAUAACGGUUAGAAAUGACCGCUAAUACCGCUUAAGCGCGCGAGGCCGCAUGGCCGUGCGCGAAAAACUCCGGUGGUAUGGGAUGGGCCCGCGUCUGAUUAGGUAGUUGGCGGGGUAAGGGCCCACCAAGCCGACGAUCAGUAGCCGACCUGAGAGGGUGGCCGGCCACAUUGGGACUGAGACACGGCCCAAACUCCUACGGAAGGCAGCAG
RNAcentral lists this ribosomal RNA (283 nucleotides) under uncultured bacterium. RNAcentral describes it as "partial 16S ribosomal RNA". It matches the Rfam family "Bacterial small subunit ribosomal RNA", at positions 77 to 354 of the family's 1533-position model. The record is from RNAcentral.